UGGGGAAUUUUGGACAAUGGGCGAAAGCCUGAUCCAGCCAUGCCGCGUGAGUGAAGAAGGCCUUCGGGUUGUAAAGCUCUUUUAGUCGGAAAGAAAGAGUUGCAAUGAAUAAUUGUGAUUUAUGACGGUACCGACAGAAAAAGCACCGGCUAACUACGUGCCAGCAGCCGCGGUAAUACGUAGGGUGCGAGCGUUAAUCGGAAUUACUGGGCGUAAAGGGUGCGCAGGCGGUCUUGCAAGUCAGAUGUGAAAGCCACGGGCUUAACCUGGGAAUUGCGUUUGAAACUACAAGGCUUGAGUGCAGCAGAGGGGAGUGGAAUUCCAAGUGUAGCAAUGAAAUGCGUAGAGAUGUGGAAGAACACCGAUGGCGAAGGCAGCUCCCUGGGUUGACACUGACGCUCAUGCACGAAAGCGUGGGGAGCAAACA
Molecule: ribosomal RNA, 427 nt
Filed under: uncultured beta proteobacterium
Lineage: Bacteria; Pseudomonadati; Pseudomonadota; Betaproteobacteria
Description: bacterial SSU rRNA
Rfam family: Bacterial small subunit ribosomal RNA
Source: RNAcentral